GGUGGGUGGGCGGGACGGUAACGCGUUAGUCUUGAAAACUAAUGAGCGAAAGCUCUAACAGGUUCGACCCCUGUACCCACCG
RNAcentral lists this transfer RNA (82 nucleotides) under bacterium. Its description in RNAcentral is "tRNA-Ser". It matches the Rfam family "tRNA". From Rfam's summary of the family: Transfer RNA (tRNA) molecules are approximately 80 nucleotides in length. The record is from RNAcentral.